Unclassified non-coding RNA from Callithrix jacchus (white-tufted-ear marmoset), 146 nucleotides. It matches the Rfam family "Metazoan signal recognition particle RNA". From Rfam's summary of the family: The signal recognition particle (SRP) is a universally conserved ribonucleoprotein. It is involved in the co-translational targeting of proteins to membranes. Lineage: Eukaryota; Metazoa; Chordata; Mammalia; Primates; Cebidae. The record is from Ensembl.
GCUGGGUAUGUUGGCACAUGCCUGUAAUCCCAGCUUUUCAGGAGGCUGAGGCAGGAGAAUCACUUGAACCCGGGAGGCAGAGGUUGCAGUGAGCGGAGACCACCAUUGCACUCUAGCCUGGGUGACAGAGUGAGACUCUGUCUCAA